RNAcentral lists this ribosomal RNA (460 nucleotides) under uncultured bacterium. RNAcentral's name for it is "partial 16S ribosomal RNA". It matches the Rfam family "Bacterial small subunit ribosomal RNA", at positions 338 to 795 of the family's 1533-position model. The record is from RNAcentral.
CCUACGGGAGGCUGCAGUGAGGAAUCUUGGUCAAUGGACGCAAGUCUGAACCAGCAACGCCGCGUGCAGGAAGACGGCCCUAUGAGUUGUAAACUGCUUUUGUACGAGGGUAAAUCCCGAUACGUGUCUCGGGUCGUAAGUACCGUAUGAAUCCGGAUCGGCUAACUCCGUUCCAGCAGCCCCGGUAAUACGGAGGGUUCAAGCGUUAUCCGGAUUUAUUGGGUUUAAGGGGGGCGUAGGCGGUUCGAUAAGUUAGAGGUGAAAUCCCGGGGCUCAACUCCGGCAGUGCCGCGGAUACUGUCGGGCUUGAGUUUAGAUGCGGUAGGCGGAAUGUAUGGUGUAGCGGUGAAAUGCAUAGAGAUCAUACAGAACACCGAUUGCGAAGGCAGCUUACCGGACUACGACUGACGUUGAGGCACGAAAGCGUGGGGAGCAAACAGGAUUAGAUACCCUUGUAGUC